Molecule: transfer RNA, 70 nt
Filed under: Camelus bactrianus (Bactrian camel)
Lineage: Eukaryota; Metazoa; Chordata; Mammalia; Artiodactyla; Camelidae
Also listed under: 2 other names
Rfam family: tRNA
About the family: Transfer RNA (tRNA) molecules are approximately 80 nucleotides in length. Their secondary structure includes four short double-helical elements and three loops (D, anti-codon, and T loops). Further hydrogen bonds mediate the characteristic L-shaped molecular structure. tRNAs have two regions of fundamental functional importance: the anti-codon, which is responsible for specific mRNA codon recognition, and the 3' end, to which the tRNAs corresponding amino acid is attached (by aminoacyl-tRNA synthetases). tRNAs cope with the degeneracy of the genetic code in two manners: having more than one tRNA (with a specific anti-codon) for a particular amino acid; and 'wobble' base-pairing, i.e. permitting non-standard base-pairing at the 3rd anti-codon position.
Source: Rfam by way of RNAcentral
GGAAAUAGCUCAGUGGUAGAGUGUGUGCUUAGCAUGCACGAGGUCCUGGGUUCAAUCCCCAGUAAUUCCA